ACAAAUAAUCUUCAAGUAGAACUUUUCGAUGUAUGGGGCAUUGAUUUCAUGGGGCCAUUCCCUAUGUCUGGGAAUUGUGAAUAUAUCUUAGUAGCCAUGGACUACGUGUCCAAAUGGGUAGAAGCCUUACCUUGUCGAUCAGCUGAUUCAAAACAUGCCAAGAGAAUGUUCCAUGAAGUAAUCUUUCCUCGCUUUGGUAUACCCCGGAUAGUUAUAAGCGAUGGAGGUUCCCACUUCAUCGAAAAAAUCUUCCGGAAGUACCUAGCCGAUCAUGGAGUUCGACACAACGUCGCAACACCAUACCAUCCUCAGACUAGCGGUCAAGCCGAAACAUCUAACAAACAAAUCAAAAAUAUUUUACAAAAGACCGUAGAUGAGAUGGGUAAAGGGUGGAAGGACAAACUUCCUGAUGCACUUUGGGCAUAUAGAACUGCAUUCAAAACACCCAUAGGCAUGUCACCUUAUCAACUUGUAUAUGGAAAAACUUGUCAUUUGCCUGUGGAAGUAGAAUUUAAGGCUCAUUGGGCACUCAAGAAAUGGAAUAUGGAUCUCCAUCUCGCUAGCAAGAAUCGUCUGAUGCAACUAUCUGAGUUAGAAGAAUGGAGAGAGAAAGCCUACCACAAUUCAAGGAUCUAUAAAGAGAGAACAAAACGAUGGCAUGAUAAAAGAAUCAAGCACAAGGAGUUUAAGCCUGGAGAUAAGGUUCUACUAUUCAAUUCAAGAGUUAAGCUCUUUGGUCAUGGUAAGCUACGAAGUAAGUGGGUUGGACCAUACAAGGUUAUUGACACUUCAACUCAUGGAGCUAUUACCAUCCAAGAUGACAUAGGUAACACUUUUAAGGUAAAUGGUCAACGCUUGAAAAUCUAUCUCGAGCCACAAAACAACCUGGUAGAGGAACUUGAUGAGAUUGAGUUCAUAGAAUUCUCAUAUUAAGCUCUCAUAAGCUCUAGACAAUUACCUAACCCUUAACAUGUUCCACAAGUUUUGUUGUCUAUUUGGGUUGCGCAGGAUUUUGAGGCUUAAGAAGAGUGAGACCAAACAUGCAGGCUACAAGAGUGAACGACUAUGUCAACAUCCAGCUUGGGGGAGGCACCCCCAUGUGUAUUUAGAUAAGUAUUACUUUUCUUUCUUGGUUUUAUUUACUAGUAUUCAGAAAUAAAAACAUGCAUAACCAUGAAACCAAACAAAGUUUUUCUUUUAAGUAAUAUACAAUAGUUUUGUGUAAUCCUAAGUUUUAAAUAAAAUAAAAAGAAAGUUUGAUUCAAGUCUAGGUAAUUGACAAACAUGAUAUGAGAAGGUCUGAGCUACUAUUUAACUUGUUCCAAGUUUUGCUAGAGUUCUGGAGAUUUUAUCUUUUGAAAAUCUAAAAAUUCAUAAAAAAUAAUAAUAAUAAAAUAAAUAUGAGAUCAUAAUACCUAGAGUCUUAUAAGAUAUGAAUAUUAAAACUAUGGGCACUUGCUUUGUUCAAGCCAUUGUUAAUUCUUGUAGUUUUGGUUGAGAGAAUUAUCAUGCUCCCAAGAUCAAGAUCUUUUUGUUUUAAAAAUAUAAAAGAUUCACUCUUCCAAAGUAUUAUUGCAUUAGAGGCAUGGGACUAUGCAAAAAUUUGAUUCAAAAAAAAAGAGUGAGACGAGAGGUAAAAAUGGACAAGUGUCCGAAGUAGAAUUAGGGGUACAAAGAUACCCACCUGAGUGGAAAAAAUGGACAUGUGUCCGACAGUAGAAUUAGGGGUACUUGCUGCCCACUUAAAAAAAAGAGAGAAAAAAAAACAAAAAAAAUGAUGAUAGCCCAUGGUCCCUCUAAUAAGCAAUAUGCCAGUAAGAGAUGACAAACUUCUCAAAAAGGUCAAAGGUCUUGAUCUAGGAGUAUGACAUUCCUCUCCCUUACUUCGAGCGUUGACAUAGCAAAAUGCAAAGUAAGUAUGCUAAAACUUUUAAAGCUCUACUUAUAUAUAUCUUUCGAGAAGAAGGAAAAUGCCUCGGUUUUAUUUUGCAGACUUAUAAAAAAAACUCCAGAGCAAAGGUAAGACAGAAGAAUUUGAGACAUAGUGCUUGACUUGAUUGUUCUAUUUUUCAAUCACUUAAGACCUUAGUGAUAACUUAAAAACCCUGUAGUAAGAGGCAUAAAAGUAAUCCAUGUUUUCUUGCUAAUUUUAGCUUUGCUCAGGGACGAGCAAAGGUUAAGCUUGGGGGAGCUUGUUGACGGUUCUUAAUGCUCACAUUUAACCAUCAACUAAUCAUGAAAAAGGAUCCAAAUGCAACCAACACCUAGAUUUAGGGUUUUAUCUGACAGAAUUCCACGAGUUUUGGUGUUUGUCUAUUUCUGCAGGGGGUUAUCAGGAAAUACGGAAGAAAGGCCCACACGUCGGGUUUACAUAGAGAUAUUAACGUGGCGCGCAAUAUUCUAUCAUCUAGAAGACUCCAGAAGCCACGGGACCGAAGCGGAGGCCGAGAGGGCUCAGGCACAGGGCGCCCGCCCUAGUCCCUUGGGCGCCCGCCCUCCCCCCUGGACCAAUCAGGGUGAAGUUCGGGGAUCAUGCUCCACCGACCUAAUACUUCAAGGAAAACCACACGAUCAAUGUCGGUUUGAUCCGACGGCCCAGAUUCACUUGAAGGGACUAUAAAACCAGACCCCCUGGCCCCUGGAGAUCAUACCUCUUCUACAGAAUCAAAGCUAGGGUUUCAAUUCUUCAUCCAAGUAGAGAGGAUCCCUCUAGUUCUUCUAGUUCUACCUAUAGUUCAUCUAGAUCUAGUUCUAGUUCAUCUAGUUCUAGUUCUAGUUCCUCUAGUUCUAGUUCUAGUUAGUUCUAGUUGUAAUCUAGAAAAUAGGGAGAGAGAAGAGGAGAGCCGAGGAGGAGCCGGAUCUGUCGGAUCUUCCUCAACAUUGUACUUUUGUAGCAACUGGUUCGUUCUUCAUCGUUCUCCAGGUUCUUCAAUUCAUAAUCCUGAGUUCUUUAAUUACUUUUAUUUGCAUUCAAGUUAUUUAUUGGAUUCCCGCUUGCAUCAAGUGCUCUAAUCUUUGCAACACUAGAGUAGUAAUUAAUAGAUUAGACGUGGUGUUUAGUCUUGUAAUUACCUGGAAUUGCACCCAAUCCUGCGGAUUGUUGUGGUAGCCUUAGGGUAGUGACAGCCCUAACGGUCGACGUAUUCCACCACGUUCGGAUCGGUGUCUGUAGGACCGUAGUCAGACCUUCCUAGCCCCCUUCUCAUCUCUUUCUGUGGUUAGUGCUCUGAUGUCCCGAAAUAGAUAAUCUUGAAGUAAUUCUUGAUUCUUAGAUCAAUUAGAGAACUCUCAGGAAACUUCCUCUCUUCCCACCAAAAAUAAUUAUAUAGUUAUCCAUGGGCGAUCUUGGAUCUUAAUUAGUACACUCACGUUCCCUGUGGAAAAUCGAUACUCUAGAAUACUCCCGGGUGAAAGCUACAUCGGUAUCCGUGCGCUUGCGGAUUUUUCUGUUUGCGUUUAAAAUACCCAACACUCGCCCUUUGGAGCAAAGAAUUUAUAGAUAGGAGUGAAAUUCCUCUUCCAAUGUUGGAGCUUGCUCCUCUGAAGAGCUAGCUUGAGCAGCAGAUGGUGUUCUUGAUGGUGAUUCGAAUUUGUCCCUUGCUUCUACAAACUUCUUCUUCCUAAGUAGUUUCUCUGGUUCUUUAGUAAAGUUUCUUGGAAGAGCAAAACCAUCCACUCAUCACCCCGCAUAAGAUAAGAAAAUGAUAACGACGAAGGGUGUACCUGAUUGAGUUAGAAAUUGAUUGGUAAUAUGGCUUUAUCCAUGCGUAUAUAGGUUAUCAAUAUAUCCUAAGUUUAUUGUGCCUUCCUCGGCAACGGCGCCAAAAAUGUUUGUUGAUAUUUACUACUGUCAUUACUAAAAAUAGAGAUAAACCCUAUCUCUAGCAACAACACCAGAAAUGCAUAGUAUAUAAUUAACUUGUCAAUUAACAACUAACCACCCUCAUAUUCCUUAGCAUGAAAUAGGUUGUCAUCCCUAAAUAUGGCUCAACCCUAAUUAACUUGUCUAGGCUUCAAUAUAAGUAAACACAUGAUGAGCUUCCCAUAAAUGACUACCUAAGGGAUGACACCCUACUUAAGAUAACACAUGCAGAUCCAUGGUACGCAGACAUCGUAAACUUUAUAGUAAAAGGCUAUGUCCCACCUGGUGCAAACAAAAGGAAGUUGCUUCACGAUAGUCGUUUCCACCUGUGGGAUGAGCCAUAUCUUUUCCGAGUCUGCGCUGAUGGACUCUUGAGAAGGUGUGUUCCUAUGGCUGAGGCUACUCAAAUUAUGGAAAGAUGCCAUGCCUCGCCAUAUGGGGGACACUACGGAGCAUUCCGGACACAUGCUAAAAUCUGGCAAAGUGGUUUUUUCUGGCCAACAAUGUAUCAAGAUACAAAGGACUUUGUCAGGAGAUGCCACCGGUGUCAAAAACAUGGGAAUAUUAACUCACGAAAUGAAAUGCCUCUCACAAAUAAUCUUCAAGUAGAACUUUUCGAUGUAUGGGGCAUUGAUUUCAUGGGGUCAUUCCCUAUGUCCGGGAAUUGUGAAUAUAUCUUAGUAGCCAUGGACUACGUGUCCAAAUGGGUAGAAGCCUUACCUUGUCGAUCAGCUGAUUCAAAACAUGCCAAGAGAAUGUUCCAUGAAGUAAUCUUUCCUCGCUUUGGUAUACCCCGGAUAGUUAUAAGCGAUGGAGGUUCCCACUUCAUCGACAAAAUCUUCCGGAAGUACCUAGCCGAUCAUGGAGUUCGACACAACGUCGCAACACCAUACCAUCCUCAGACUAGCGGUCAAGCCGAAACAUCUAACAAACAAAUCAAAAAUAUUUUACAAAAGACCGUAGAUGAGAUGGGUAAGGGGUGGAAGGACAAACUUCCUGAUGCACUUUGGGCAUAUAGAACUGCAUUCAAAACACCCAUAGGCAUGUCACCUUAUCAACUUGUAUAUGGAAAAACUUGUCAUUUGCCUGUGGAAGUAGAAUUUAAGGCUCAUUGGGCACUCAAGAAAUGGAACAUGGAUCUCCAUCUCGCUAGCGAGAAUCGUCUGAUGCAACUAUCUGAGUUAGAAGAAUGGAGAGAGAAAGCCUACCACAAUUCAAGGAUCUAUAAAGAGAGAACAAAACGAUGGCAUGAUAAGAGAAUCAAGCACAAGGAGUUUAAGCCUGGAGAUAAGGUUCUACUAUUCAAUUCAAGAGUUAAGCUCUUUGGUCAUGGUAAGCUACGAAGUAAGUGGGUUGGACCAUACAAGGUUAUUGACACUUCAACUCAUGGAGCUAUUACCAUCCAAGAUGACAUAGGUAACACUUUUAAGGUAAAUGGUCAACGCUUGAAAAUCUAUCUCGAGCCACAAAACAACCUGGUAGAGGAACUUGAUGAGAUUGAGUUCAUAGAAUUCUCAUAUUAAGCUCUCAUAAGCUCUAGACAAUUACCUAACCCUUAACAUGUUCCACAAGUUUUGUUGUCUAUUUGGGUUGCGCAGGAUUUUGAGGCUUAAGAAGAGUGAGACCAAACAUGCAGGCUACAAGAGUGAACGACUAUGUCAACAUCCAGCUUGGGGGAGGCACCCCCACGUGUAUUUAGAUAAGUAUUACUUUUCUUUCUUGGUUUUAUUUACUAGUAUUCAGAAAUAAAAAAAUGCAUAACCAUGAAACCAAACAAAGUUUUUCUUUUAAGUAAUAUACAAUAGUUUUGUGUAAUCCUAAGUUUUAAAUAAAAUAAAAAGAAAGUUUGAUUCAAGUCUAGGUAAUUGACAAACAUGAUAUGAGAAGGUCUGAGCUACUAUUUAACUUGAUCCAAGUUUUGCUAGAGUUCUGGAGAUUUUAUCUUUUGAAAAUCUAAAAAUUCAUAAAAAAUAAUAAUAAUAAAAUAAAUAUGAGAUCAUAAUACCUAGAGUCUUAUAAGAUAUGAAUAUUAAAACUAUGGGCACUUGCUUUGUUCAAGCCAUUGUUAAUUCUUGUAGUUUUGGUUGAGAGAAUUAUCAUGCUCCCAAGAUCAAGAUCUUUUUGUUUUAAAAAUAUAAAAGAUUCACUCUUCCGAAGUAUUAUUGCAUUAGAGGCAUGGGACUAUGCAAAAAUUUGAUUCGAAAAAAAAGAGUGAGACGAGAGGUAAAAAUGGACAAGUGUCCGAAGUAGAAUUAGGGGUACAAAGAUACCCACCUGAGUGGAAAAAAUGGACAUGUGUCCGACAGUAGAAUUAGGGGUACUUGCUGCCCACUUAAAAAAAAGAGAGAAAAAAAAACAAAAAAAAUGAUGAUAGCCCAUGGUCCCUCUAAUAAGCAAUAUGCCAGUAAGAGAUGACAAACUUCUCAAAAAGGUCAAAGGUCUUGAUCUAGGAGUAUGACAUUCCUCUCCCUUACUUCGAGCGUUGACAUAGCAAAAUGCAAAGUAAGUAUGCUAAAACUUUUAAAGCUCUACUUAUAUAUAUCUUUCGAGAAGAAGGAAAAUGCCUCGGUUUUAUUUUGCAGACUUAUAAAAAAAAAACUCCAGAGCAAAGGUAAGACAGAAGAACUUGAGACAUAGUGCUUGACUUGAUUGUUCUAUUUUUCAAUCACUUAAGACCUUAGUGAUAACUUAAAAACCCUGUAGUAAGAGGCAUAAAAGUAAUCCAUGUUUUCUUGCUAAUUUUAGCUUUGCUCAGGGACGAGCAAAGGUUAAGCUUGGGGGAGCUUGUUGACGGUUCUUAAUGCUCACAUUUAACCAUCAACUAAUCAUGAAAAAGGAUCCAAAUGCAACCAACACCUAGAUUUAGGGUUUUAUCUGACAGAAUUCCACGAGUUUUGGUGUUUGUCUAUUUCUGCAGGGGGUUAUCAGGAAAUACGGAAGAAAGGCCCACACGUCGGGUUUACAUAGAGAUAUUAACGUGCCGCGCAAUAUUCUAUCAUCUAGAAGACUCCAGAAGCCACGGGACCGAAGCGGAGGCCGAGAGGGCUCAGGCACAGGGCGCCCGCCCUAGUCCCUUGGGCGCCCGCCCUCCCCCCUGGACCAAUCAGGGUGAAGUUCAGGGAUCAUGCUCCACCGACCUAAUACUUCAAGGAAAACCACACGAUCAAUGUCGGUUUGAUCCGACGGCCCAGAUUCACUUGAAGGGACUAUAAAACCAGACCCCCUGGCCCCUGGAGAUCAUACCUCUUCUACAGAAUCAAAGCUAGGGUUUCAAUUCUUCAUCCAAGUAGAGAGGAUCCCUCUAGUUCUUCUAGUUCUACCUAUAGUUCAUCUAGAUCUAGUUCUAGUUCAUCUAGUUCUAGUUCUAGUUCCUCUAGUUCUAGUUCUAGUUAGUUCUAGUUGUAAUCUAGAAAAUAGGGAGAGAGAAGAGGAGAGCCGAGGAGGAGCCGGAUCUGUCGGAUCUUCCUCAACAUUGUACUUUUGUAGCAACUGGUUCGUUCUUCAUCGUUCUCCAGGUUCUUCAAUUCAUAAUCCUGAGUUCUUUAAUUACUUUUAUUUGCAUUCAAGUUAUUUAUUGGAUUCCCGCUUGCAUCAAGUGCUCUAAUCUUUGCAACACUAGAGUAGUAAUUAAUAGAUUAGACGUGGUGUUUAGUCUUGUAAUUACCUGGAAUUGCACCCAAUCCUGCGGAUUGUUGUGGUAGCCUUAGGGUAGUGACAGCCCUAACGGUCGACGUAUUCCACCACGUUCGGAUCGGUGUCUGUAGGACCGUAGUCAGACCUUCCUAGCCCCCUUCUCAUCUCUUUCUGUGGUUAGUGCUCUGAUGUCCCGAAAUAGAUAAUCUUGAAGUAAUUCUUGAUUCUUAGAUCAAUUAGAGAACUCUCAGGAAACUUCCUCUCUUCCCACCAAAAAUAAUUAUAUAGUUAUCCUUGGGCG
This 7796-nucleotide long non-coding RNA is filed under the name Sorghum bicolor (sorghum). RNAcentral describes it as "long non-coding RNA (SBIC_LNC000825)". Lineage: Eukaryota; Viridiplantae; Streptophyta; Magnoliopsida; Poales; Poaceae. The record is from RNAcentral.